RNAcentral lists this ribosomal RNA (497 nucleotides) under uncultured bacterium. RNAcentral's name for it is "partial 16S ribosomal RNA". It matches the Rfam family "Bacterial small subunit ribosomal RNA", at positions 28 to 507 of the family's 1533-position model. The record is from RNAcentral.
GAUGAACGCUGGCGGCGUGCCUAAUACAUGCAAGUCGAGCGAACGGACGAGAAGCUUGCUUCUCUGAUGUUAGCGGCGGACGGGUGAGUAACACGUGGAUAACCUACCUAUAAGACUGGGAUAACUUCGGGAAACCGUAGCUAAUACCGGAUAAUAUUUUGAACCGCAUGGUUCAAAAGUGAAAGACGGUCUUGCUGUCACUUAUAGAUGGAUCCGCGCUGCAUUAUCUAGUUGGUAAGGUAACGGCUUACCAAGGCAACGAUGCAUAGCUGACCUGAGAGGGUGAUCGGCCACACUGGAACUGAGACACGGUCCAGACUCCUACGGGAGGCAGCAGUAGGGAAUCUUCCGCAAUGGGCGAAAGCCUGACGGAGCAACGCCGCGUGAGUGAUGAAGGUCUUCGGAUCGUAAAACUCUGUUAUUAGGGAAGAACAUAUGUGUAAGUAACUGUGCACAUCUUGACGGUACCUAAUCAGAAAGCCACGGCUAACUACGUG